Molecule: ribosomal RNA, 429 nt
Filed under: Chloroflexota bacterium
Lineage: Bacteria; Bacillati; Chloroflexota
Description: Chloroflexi bacterium partial 16S ribosomal RNA
Rfam family: Bacterial small subunit ribosomal RNA
Source: RNAcentral
UGGGGAAUAUUGCACAAUGGGCGCAAGCCUGAUGCAGCCAUGCCGCGUGUAUGAAGAAGGCCUUCGGGUUGUAAAGUACUUUCAGUCGGGAGGAAGGUGGUAAGGUUAAUAACCUUAUCAAUUGACGUUACCGACAGAAGAAGCACCGGCUAACUCCGUGCCAGCAGCCGCGGUAAUACGGAGGGUGCAAGCGUUGUCCGGAUUUAUUGGGCGUAAAGCGAGCGCAGGCGGUUUCUUAAGUCUGAUGUGAAAGCCCCCGGCGCAACCGGGGAGGGUCAUUGGAAACUGGGAGACUUGAGUGCAGAAGAGGAGAGUGGAAUUCCAUGUGUAGCGGUGAAAUGCGUAGAUAUAUGGAGGAACACCAGUGGCGAAGGCGGCUCUCUGGUCUGUAACUGACGCUGAGGCUCGAAAGCGUGGGGAGCAAACAGG